Molecule: ribosomal RNA, 253 nt
Filed under: uncultured bacterium
Lineage: Bacteria
Description: partial 16S ribosomal RNA
Rfam family: Bacterial small subunit ribosomal RNA
Source: RNAcentral
UACGUAGGGUGCUAGCGUUGUCCGGAAUUAUUGGGCGUAAAGAGCUCGUAGGCGGUCUGUCGCGUCGGCUGUGAAAACCCGGGGCUCAACCCCGGGCCUGCAGUCGAUACGGGCAGACUAGAGUGCGGUAGGGGAGACUGGAAUUCCUGGUGUAGCGGUGAAAUGCGCAGAUAUCAGGAGGAACACCGGUGGCGAAGGCGGGUCUCUGGGCCGUAACUGACGCUGGGGAGCGAAAGCGUGGGGAGCGAACAGG